GAUCUGGUUUCACACCAAAAAGGAUCUGGAACUAGUCCCUAGUUUGCGCGAACCUUUUCACCCCCAGAUAGUCCCUGCUAGAGAGGCGGUGCUUCCUGCA
This is a long non-coding RNA of Notothenia coriiceps (black rockcod), 100 nucleotides long. RefSeq lists it as uncharacterized. Lineage: Eukaryota; Metazoa; Chordata; Actinopteri; Perciformes; Nototheniidae. The transcript has 3 exons. The record is from RefSeq and is a predicted model, not a curated record.